AGCUUGCUGGGGUGGAAAGAGUGGGCGAAACGGGGGUGAGUAAACACGUGAGUAAACCCCUGCCCCCGAAACUCUGGGAUAAGCGCUGGAAACGGCGUCUAAUACUGGAUAUGUCCCAUCACCGCAUGGUGUGUGGGUGGAAAGAUUUAUCGGUUCGGGAUGGACUCGCGGCCUAUCAGCUUGUUGGUGAGGUAAUGGCUCACCAAGGCGACGACGGGUAGCCGGCCUGAGAGGGUGACCGGCCACACUGGGACUGAGACACGGCCCAGACUCCUACGGGAGGCAGCAGUGGGGAAUAUUGCACAAUGGGCGCAAGCCUGAUGCAGCAACGCCGCGUGAGGGAUGACGGCCUUCGGGUUGUAAACCUCUUUUAGUAGGGAAGAAGCGAAAGUGACGGUACCUGCAGAAAAAGCACCGGCUAACUACGUGC
Molecule: ribosomal RNA, 430 nt
Filed under: uncultured Brevibacterium sp.
Lineage: Bacteria; Bacillati; Actinomycetota; Actinomycetes; Micrococcales; Brevibacteriaceae
Description: bacterial SSU rRNA
Rfam family: Bacterial small subunit ribosomal RNA
Source: RNAcentral